UACGAAGGGUGCAAGCGUUACUCGGAAUUACUGGGCGUAAAGCGUGCGUAGGUGGUUUGUUAAGUCUGAUGUGAAAGCCCUGGGCUCAACCUGGGAAUUGCAUUGGAUACUGGCAGGCUAGAGUGCGGUAGAGGAUGGCGGAAUUCCCGGUGUAGCAGUGAAAUGCGUAGAGAUCGGGAGGAGCAUCUGUGGCGAAGGCGGCCAUCUGGACCAGCACUGACACUGAGGCACGAAAGCGUGGGGAGCAAACAGG
Molecule: ribosomal RNA, 253 nt
Filed under: uncultured bacterium
Lineage: Bacteria
Description: partial 16S ribosomal RNA
Rfam family: Bacterial small subunit ribosomal RNA
Source: RNAcentral